This 798-nucleotide ribosomal RNA is filed under the name uncultured bacterium. RNAcentral's name for it is "bacterial SSU rRNA". It matches the Rfam family "Bacterial small subunit ribosomal RNA", at positions 8 to 796 of the family's 1533-position model. The record is from RNAcentral.
AGAGUUUGAUCCUGGCUCAGAGUGAACGCUGGCGGCAUGCCUAACACAUGCAAGUCGAACGGUAACAGGCCCGCAAGGGUGCUGACGAGUGGCGGACGGGUGAGGAAUACAUCGGAAUCUGCCCGGUUGUGGGGGAUAACGUAGGGAAACUUACGCUAAUACCGCAUACGACCGAAAGGUGAAAGCGUGGGAUCCGCAAGGACCUCGCGCAGCCGGAUGAGCCGAUGUCGGAUUAGCUAGUUGGCGGGGUAAAGGCCCACCAAGGCGACGAUCCGUAGCUGGUCUGAGANNGGAUGAUCAGCCACACUGGGACUGAGACACGGCCCAGACUCCUACGGGAAGGCAGCAGUGGGGAAUAUUGGACAAUGGGGGCAACCCUGAUCCAGCAAUGCCGCGUGUGUGAAGAAGGCCUUCGGGUUGUAAAGCACUUUUAUCCGGAACGAAACGCGCAGGGUGAAUAGCCUUUGCGAACUGACGGUACCGGAGGAAUAAGCACCGGCUACUUCGUGCCAGCAGCCGCGGUAAUACGAAGGGUGCAAACGUUACUCGGAAUUACUGGGCGUAAAGCGUGCGUAGGUGGUUUGUUAAGUCUGCUGUGAAAGCCCCGGGCUCAACCUGGGAAUGGCAGUGGAUACUGGCAAGCUAGAGUGCGGUAGAGGGUAGUGGAAUUCCCGGUGUAGCGGUGAAAUGCGUAGAGAUCGGGAGGAACACCAGUGGCGAAGGCGGCUACCUGGACCAGCACUGACACUGAGGCACGAAAGCGUGGGGAGCAAACAGGAUUAGAUACCCUAGUAGUCC